ACACUGGUAGUUCAGUAGUAAAAUUCUUGCCUGUGAUACAGGAGACCCGGGUUCAAUUCCCAGCCAGUGCA
This 71-nucleotide transfer RNA is filed under the name Loxodonta africana (African savanna elephant). It matches the Rfam family "tRNA". From Rfam's summary of the family: Transfer RNA (tRNA) molecules are approximately 80 nucleotides in length. Lineage: Eukaryota; Metazoa; Chordata; Mammalia; Proboscidea; Elephantidae. The record is from Rfam by way of RNAcentral.